Molecule: non-coding RNA, 73 nt
Organism: Caerostris darwini
Lineage: Eukaryota; Metazoa; Arthropoda; Arachnida; Araneae; Araneidae
Source: the annotation of a GenBank genome assembly
ACAUCGAAGUUAAGCAUCAUUGGGCGCGGUCAGUACUUGGGUGGGUGACCACCUGGGAACACCGCGUGCCGUU